This 801-nucleotide ribosomal RNA is filed under the name uncultured archaeon. RNAcentral describes it as "bacterial SSU rRNA". It matches the Rfam family "Archaeal small subunit ribosomal RNA", at positions 511 to 1308 of the family's 1478-position model. The record is from RNAcentral.
UAAAGCGUCCGUAGCUGGCCACGCAAGUCCAUCGGGAAAUCUCCUCGCUCAACGAGGAGGCGUCCGGUGGAAACUGCAUGGCUUGGGACCGGAAGAUCCAGAGGGUACGUCUGGGGUAGGAGUGAAAUCCUGUAAUCCGGGACGGACCACCGGUGGCGAAAGCGCUCUGGAAAGACGGAUCCGACGGUGAGGGACGAAAGCUCGGGUCACGAACCGGAUUAGAUACCCGGGUAGUCCGAGCUGUAAACGAUGUCUGCUAGGUGUGGCACAGGCUACGAGCCUGUGCUGUGCCGUAGGGAAGCCGUGAAGCAGACCGCCUGGGAAGUACGUCUGCAAGGAUGAAACUUAAAGGAAUUGGCGGGGGAGCACUACAACCGGAGGAGCCUGCGGUUUAAUUGGACUCAACGCCGGACAUCUCACCAGCAUCGACAGUGUGCAGUGAAAGUCAGUGUGAUGAGCUUACUGGAGCCACUGAGAGGAGGUGCAUGGCCGCCGUCAGCUCGUACCGUGAGGCGUCCUGUUAAGUCAGGCAACGAGCGAGACCCGCACCCUUAAUUGCCAGCAACACCCUUGAGGUGGUUGGGUACAUUAAGAGGACUGCCAGUGCCAAACUGGAGGAAGGAACGGGCAACGGUAGGUCAGUAUGCCCCGAAUGUGCUGGGCUACACGCGGGCUACAAUGGUCGAGACAGUGGGAUGCUACGCCGAAAGGCGACGCUAAUCUCCGAAACUCGAUCGUAGUUCGGAUUGCGGGCUGAAACUCGCCCGCAUGAAGCUGGAUUCGGUAGUAAUCGCGCCUCAG